Molecule: ribosomal RNA, 433 nt
Filed under: uncultured bacterium
Lineage: Bacteria
Description: partial 16S ribosomal RNA
Rfam family: Bacterial small subunit ribosomal RNA
Source: RNAcentral
AGCGAACGCUGGCGGCAGGCCUAACACAUGCAAGUCGAACGAACUCUUCGGAGUUAGUGGCGGACGGGUGAGUAACACGUGGGAACGUGCCUUUUGGUUCGGAAUAACUCAGGGAAACUUGUGCUAAUACCGAAUGUGCCCUUCGGGGGAAAGAUUUAUCGCCAUUAGAGCGGCCCGCGUCUGAUUAGCUAGUUGGUGAGGUAACGGCUCACCAAGGCGACGAUCAGUAGCUGGUCUGAGAGGAUGACCAGCCACACUGGGACUGAGACACGGCCCAGACUCGUACGGGAGGCAGCAGUGGGGAAUCUUGCGCAAUGGGCGAAAGCCUGACGCAGCCAUGCUGCGUGAAUGAUGAAGGUCUUAGGAUUGUAAAAUUCUUUCACCGGGGACGAUAAUGACGGUACCCGGAGAAGAAGCCCCGGCUAACUUCGUG